AGCCAGACUCCUACGGGAGGCAGCAGUGGGGAAUAUUGCACAAUGGGGGAAACCCUGAUGCAGCGACGCCGCGUGAGUGAAGAAGUAUUUCGGUAUGUAAAGCUCUAUCAGCAGGGAAGAAGUUGACGGUACCUGAGUAAGAAGCCCCGGCUAGCUACGUGCCAGCAGCCGCGGUAAUACGUAGGGGGCAAGCGUUAUCCGGAUUUACUGGGUGUAAAGGGAGCGUAGACGGCAGUGCAAGUCUGAAGUGAAAGCCCCGGGCUUAACCCGGGAACUGCUUUGGAAACUGUACGGCUGGAGUGCUGGAGAGGUAAGCGGAAUUCCUAGUGUAGCGGUGAAAUGCGUAGAUAUUAGGAGGAACACCAGUGGCGAAGGCGGCUUACUGGACAGUAACUGACGUUGAGGCUCGAAAGCGUGGGGAGCAAACAGGAUUAGAUACCCGAGUA
RNAcentral lists this ribosomal RNA (446 nucleotides) under uncultured bacterium. RNAcentral's name for it is "bacterial SSU rRNA". It matches the Rfam family "Bacterial small subunit ribosomal RNA", at positions 329 to 792 of the family's 1533-position model. The record is from RNAcentral.